UCCAAAAGCAGGUGAGUGUCUGAGGUUCU
This 29-nucleotide non-coding RNA is filed under the name Homo sapiens (human). Lineage: Eukaryota; Metazoa; Chordata; Mammalia; Primates; Hominidae. The record is from RNAcentral.